GUCCACGCCCUAAACGAUGUCUACUAGUUGUCGGGUCUUAAUUGACUUGGUAACGCAGCUAACGCGUGAAGUAGACCGCCUGGGGAGUACGGUCGCAAGAUUAAAACUCAAAGGAAUUGACGGGGACCCGCACAAGCGGUGGAUGAUGUGGAUUAAUUCGAUGCAACGCGAAAACCUUACCUACCCUUGACAUGUACGGAACCCUGCUGAGAAGUGGGGUGCUCGAAAGAGAACCGUAACACAGGUGCUGCAUGGCUGUCGU
RNAcentral lists this ribosomal RNA (262 nucleotides) under uncultured bacterium. Its description in RNAcentral is "partial 16S ribosomal RNA". It matches the Rfam family "Bacterial small subunit ribosomal RNA", at positions 793 to 1055 of the family's 1533-position model. The record is from RNAcentral.